UCAGAGGGUCGGGCGACCGCCUACUUUUGUUAAUGCUAAAGCGGGCUUGCCGCGCCGAAGCUUUAGCGAAGGCGGGAGGAAAGUCCGGGCUCCAUUGAAGCAGGAUGCCGGAUAACGUCCGGCGGGUGUGUUGGCAACAACACAUUUAGGGAAAGUGCAACAGAAAGCAAACCGCCUCAUCAGUAUUCAUAUUGGUGAGGUAAGGGUGAAAGGGUGUGGUAAGAGCGCACCGUACGUUUUGGCAACAAGACGGGCAUGGUAAACCCCAUCCGGAGCAAGACCAAAUAGGGGCGGCAUUAUGGUGUGCUUUGGCACCGCUGCCCGGGUUGGUUGCUUGAGGCGCUGAGCAAUCAGCGUCCCAGAUGAAUGGUCGCCGCGUGAGAACGUACAGAACCCGGCUUAUAGACCCUCUGAUAUA
RNAcentral lists this RNase P RNA (418 nucleotides) under Robiginitomaculum sp. RNAcentral describes it as "RNase P RNA component class A". It matches the Rfam family "Bacterial RNase P class A". From Rfam's summary of the family: Ribonuclease P (RNase P) is a ubiquitous endoribonuclease, found in archaea, bacteria and eukarya as well as chloroplasts and mitochondria. Its best characterised activity is the generation of mature 5'-ends of tRNAs by cleaving the 5'-leader elements of precursor-tRNAs. Lineage: Bacteria; Pseudomonadati; Pseudomonadota; Alphaproteobacteria; Maricaulales; Robiginitomaculaceae. The record is from RNAcentral.